RNAcentral lists this ribosomal RNA (558 nucleotides) under uncultured eukaryote. RNAcentral's name for it is "bacterial SSU rRNA". It matches the Rfam family "Eukaryotic small subunit ribosomal RNA", at positions 643 to 1160 of the family's 1831-position model. The record is from RNAcentral.
AUGGAGUAGUGUCGCAAGGCAUCGCUUAGUUAUUUUAUUGCUUUUAGAUGUAGUAAUUAGGGGUAAAACUGGUUAUAGAAACCUAAGGGAUCACAGUAAGGUAUUAAGUGGGGUUCCAGUUCAUUUACUUUGAGUAAAUUAGAGUGUUCAAAGCAGCCUGUAUGGGCAUUGAAUAGAUUAGCAUGGGAUAAUAGAAUAGGAUUCUUACCUAUUUAUUGGUUUAUAGGUUUAGAAUAAUGAUUAAUAGGGAUAGUUGGGGGCACUUGUAUUCAAUAGUCAGAGGUGAAAAUUCUAGGAUUUUAUUCGAAGACAAACUUCAGCGAAAGCAUUUGCCAAGGAUGUUUUCAUUAAUCAAGAACGAAAGUUAGGGGGAUCGAAGACGAUUAGACACCGUCGUAGUCUUAACUAUAAACUAUGCCGACCAGGGGAUAUGAGAGUUUUACAUUUAUACUAUGAAUAAUAGUAUAAUCUCUUGUGGACCUUGUGAGAAAUCAUAAGUUUUUUGGGGUUCUGGGGGGGAGUAUGGUCGCAAGGCUGAAACUUAAAGGAAUUGACGGA